GUGCUCACUUCGGCAGCAUAUAUACUAAAAUUGGAAUGUUACAGAGAAGAUUAGCAUGGCCCCUGUGCAAGAUGACAUGCAAAUUCGUAAAGUGUUCCAUUAAAAA
RNAcentral lists this small nuclear RNA (106 nucleotides) under Cercocebus atys (sooty mangabey). The record is from RNAcentral. Lineage: Eukaryota; Metazoa; Chordata; Mammalia; Primates; Cercopithecidae.